Molecule: ribosomal RNA, 403 nt
Filed under: uncultured bacterium
Lineage: Bacteria
Description: bacterial SSU rRNA
Rfam family: Bacterial small subunit ribosomal RNA
Source: RNAcentral
AGUAUCCGAAGAAAAAGCAUCGGCUAACUCCGUGCCAGCAGCCGCGGUAAUACGGAGGAUGCGAGCGUUAUCCGGAUUUAUUGGGUUUAAAGGGUGCGUAGGCGGCACGCCAAGUCAGCGGUGAAAUUUCCGGGCUCAACCCGGAGUGUGCCGUUGAAACUGGCGAGCUAGAGUACACAAGAGGCAGGCGGAAUGCGUGGUGUAGCGGUGAAAUGCAUAGAUAUCACGCAGAACCCCGAUUGCGAAGGCAGCCUGCUAGGGUGAAACAGACGCUGAGGCACGAAAGCGUGGGUAUCGAACAGGAUUAGAUACCCUGGUAGUCCACGCAGUAAACGAUGAAUACUAACUGUUUGCGAUACAAUGUAAGCGGUACAGCGAAAGCGUUAAGUAUUCCACCUGGGGA